GAAAGGCGAAAAGAACCCCGGCGAGGGGAGUGAAAAAGAACCUGAAACCGUGUACGUACAAGCAGUGGGAGCACCCUUCGGGGUGUGACUGCGUACCUUUUGUAUAAUGGGUCAGCGACUUAUAUUCUGUAGCAAGGUUAACCGUAUAGGGGAGCCGGAGGGAAACCGAGUCUUAACCGGGCGUUAAGUUGCAGGGUAUAGACCCGAAACCCGGUGAUCUAGCCAUGGGCAGGUUGAAGGUUGGGUAACACUAACUGGAGGACCGAACCGACUAAUGUUGAAAAAUUAGCGGAUGACCUGUGGCUGGGGGUGAAAGGCCAAUCAAACCGGGAGAUAGCUGGUUCUCCCCGAAAG
Molecule: ribosomal RNA, 354 nt
Filed under: Salmonella enterica subsp. enterica serovar Typhimurium var. Copenhagen str. 0084
Lineage: Bacteria; Pseudomonadati; Pseudomonadota; Gammaproteobacteria; Enterobacterales; Enterobacteriaceae
Description: bacterial LSU rRNA
Rfam family: Bacterial large subunit ribosomal RNA
Source: RNAcentral